UUGUAUAAUCCAAUCCCCAAUUGACAAGCAAUUUUGCCUCUUUACUUCCUGCUUACUUAUCCUGCAUAAGCUCUAGACCACCAGAGAUCAGGGCUUGAUAUUCUGGGAAUGAUGUGGAUCAGCGCCCGUGGACCCUCGUCACCCGUAGCUUGAGGUGUGGAGAUGAAGAAGCACUCACCAACAGUGGAAAGCCCCACAGGCACAAGGACUUCUGUAGGAUUUUACACAUCAGGCAGGAAACCACCCUCAGCUUCAAAAGGGAACAGAAAACUAAUGUAUAGAAAAGCUCACCACUCCAUGGACCAGUUUACAGCCAAAGAUUAAAGUACCCAGGCCUGUAUAUCCAUCC
Molecule: long non-coding RNA, 349 nt
Organism: Chinchilla lanigera (long-tailed chinchilla)
Lineage: Eukaryota; Metazoa; Chordata; Mammalia; Rodentia; Chinchillidae
Exons: 3
Source: RefSeq, a predicted model, not a curated record